Molecule: ribosomal RNA, 254 nt
Filed under: uncultured bacterium
Lineage: Bacteria
Description: partial 16S ribosomal RNA
Rfam family: Bacterial small subunit ribosomal RNA
Source: RNAcentral
UACGAAGGGGGCGAGCGUUGUUCGGAUUUACUGGGCGUAAAGGGCGCGCAGGCGGUUCUGUUUGUCGAGUGUGAAAGCCCCGGGCUCAACCUGGGAACUGCGCUCGAAACGGCGGAACUAGAGUUCGGGAGAGGAGAGUGGAAUUCCCAGUGUAGAGGUGAAAUUCGUAGAUAUUGGGAAGAACACCGGUGGCGAAGGCGGCUCUCUGGACCGAUACUGACGCUGAGGCGCGAAAGCCAGGGGAGCAAAGCGGG